GAUGAACGCUGGCGGCGUGCCUAAUACAUGCAAGUAGAACGCUGAAGCUUGGUGCUUGCACCGAGCGGAAGAGUUGCUGACGGGUGAGUAACUCGUAGGUAACCUGCCUCCUCGUGGGGGAUAACUAAUGGAAACGAUAGCUAAUACCGCAUAAAAGCCGAUAUCUCAUGAUAUUGAUUGGAAAGGUGCAAAUGCACCACUAAGUGAUGGAGCUGCGUUGUAUUAGCUAGUUGGUGUGGUAACCGCUCACCAAGGCGACGAUACAUAGCCGACCUGAGAGGGUGAGCGGCCACACUGGGACUGGGACACGGCCCAGACUCCUACGGGAGGCAGCAGUAGGGGAUCCUCGGCAAUGGGAGCAACCGUGAACGUGCAACGCCGCGUGAGAGCAGGAGGGUUUCGGGUCGCGAAGGUCAGUUGUAAGAGAAGAACGUGUGUGAGAGUGAAAAAUUCACAUUAUGACGGUAACUUACCAGAAAGGGACGGCUAACUACGUG
Molecule: ribosomal RNA, 497 nt
Filed under: uncultured bacterium
Lineage: Bacteria
Description: partial 16S ribosomal RNA
Rfam family: Bacterial small subunit ribosomal RNA
Source: RNAcentral